CCGGACAAGGCGUUUAACGUGCCCAGGCGUGAAGUAUGGCAUGCAAGGAUGGUUUCUGCCAAGGAGCCAGCCAUCGCCAUGUCCUCGGGUCUCUCCGUCGCCCUCCUGCAUUGCCUGUGCCUGGCGACCUGUCUCACCGGGCCGCCGGGGCAGAUCAAAAAAGAGGAGAAAUUGUGGCCGGAGAAUUUCACCAGCAUCCUGAACAGCCUCCUGGAUGGCUAUGACAACAGGCUGCGACCGGGAUUUGGGGGUCCUGUUACUGAAGUCAAAACAGAUAUAUAUGUCACCAGUUUUGGACCUGUUUCUGAUGUAGAAAUGGAAUAUACAAUGGAUGUCUUCUUUCGUCAGACAUGGGUAGAUAAAAGAUUAAAAUAUGAUGGCCCUAUUGAAAUUUUAAGACUUAACAACUUGAUGGUUUCGAAGGUAUGGACUCCUGAUACUUUCUUCAGGAAUGGGAAAAAGUCUGUUGCACAUAAUAUGACAGCCCCAAAUAAACUCUUCAGAAUAAUGAGAAAUGGCACCAUCCUGUACACAAUGAGGCUUACAAUAAGUGCAGAGUGUCCCAUGAGAUUAGUGGAUUUUCCCAUGGAUGGUCAUGCUUGUCCUCUCAAAUUUGGGAGUUAUGCUUAUCCAAAGAGUGAAAUGAUUUAUACCUGGACAAAAGGACCUGAGAAGUCAGUGGAAGUUCCUGAAGAGUCUUCCAGUUUAGUUCAGUAUGACCUGCUUGGGCAUACGGUAUCCUCUGAAACUAUUAAAUCAAUUACAGGUGAAUAUAUUGUUAUGACAGUUUAUUUCCAUCUCAGACGGAAAAUGGGUUAUUUUAUGAUUCAGACCUAUAUCCCAUGCAUUAUGACAGUGAUCCUCUCUCAAGUUUCAUUUUGGAUAAAUAAGGAAUCUGUUCCUGCCAGAACUGUAUUUGGAAUAACCACAGUGUUGACGAUGACGACACUGAGCAUCAGUGCAAGACAUUCAUUGCCAAAAGUAUCCUAUGCUACUGCCAUGGACUGGUUCAUAGCAGUUUGCUUUGCCUUUGUGUUCUCUGCUCUUAUUGAGUUUGCUGCUGUCAACUAUUUUACUAACAUUCAAAUGGAAAAAGCCAAAAGGAAGACAGUAAAGUCCCUUCUUGAGUUUCCAGUUGCUCCAGUACAAAGAAAAAGAAGUACAGAAGAGACAUUCACGAGUACAGAUGCCAAUUCAAAUGUGAGGAAAAGAAUGAAUGCCACAGUACAAUCUGAAGCUGAUGGUGGAAGCCGAAUUGACACAAGGCACAGCUCUGUCCAGCCUCCCUCUGUAGCUCAGGGGUCUUCUGACAUUACACCCCACUCCCUUUCUGCAUCAAGUCCCAACCCUUUCACACGAAUCAACGCAUCGGAGACAUUAUCUUCUGCAAGAGCUACCCCUCCUGCUCCUCCUUCUACCCCAAUUUUGACUGGAUUUGUAUCCCAGCAUGCCACAGCUGGAUCCCCUUCCAUUCAGCACUUGCUUGGAUCUAGACUGGAGCGGAUUCAGACCACCACACCUAAUACUUUAGGAGCAUCUGCAAAGCCAUCUGCUGUCAUACCACCACCUCCUCCCCCCGCCUCCCACUCUGGCACGAGUAAGAUAGACAAAUAUGCACGCAUUUUAUUUCCUGUUACCUUCGGAGCAUUUAACAUGGUCUACUGGGUGGUCUAUCUAUCCAAGGAUACCAUGGAAAAAUCAGAAAGUCUAAUGUAGUUUUGCUGCUAUGUAGUAGUUCCUAAAUUAUACUCACAUUUGAUGCAGAGUUUCUUCUUUUGAAACUAUUUAAAAAGGUCAGUAAUUCUUAUUUAUAAAAGCUGUGUGCUACUUUCCCAUUCUAAAGGCUGGAGUUAGUGGGGAUAAUUAGUUAACUCUUAACAGAGUAAUGGGUAACAGUAAUGGGUCUUCCUCCCUUCAGCCAGCAAUGAGCCAGCACUUGCUUGAGAAAAACUACUCUGGCUGCACAGAACUUGCAUUUGGGAGGAACAUGCACCUGAAAAAAAUCAGAGGCAGAGGUGCACAGCUGUGCAGUGGAACACAUCUGACUGCUAGGAAUAUGCAUGUUGGCUAUUACAAAUGCCUGAGGCACCCAGCACUGCUGUCUGGACAUGGCAUUCUCUGAGUGUGAGGUCUAUGUCCUGAAUAUUUUGACAGUGGUUGCUGGAAAAGGACUUUUCCCUGCUAGAUUAAAAUUGACAGAAUGAGGGAAAGAAAAUCAAUAGCGGCAAAAGGGAAGAGAGUCCAGCCUGGGAGAGUGCAACUCGAGGAAAGGCCUGUCCUCAGAGUUAAGAUGUAGCUAUUUUGGAGAAUGUGAGUGUGAUGAGAGUUUCAGCGUGUUCCGAGCAAAUCAGAUUCUGAAAGUAAAUUUUUGCCACGUCCCAGGCAAGUGAGAGUAAUGCGAAGCACAGAGCACCCUGUAAAGAUAUCUCUUUGCUAAUGUUAUAUUCUGUGUUAACUGGUGGGAAUGAAAAAUGCAAUUGUUGUAAAAUUGAUAGAAUUUGCAAAACAUAAAUUUUUUUUCAUGAGUUAGAAAUGUGGUAGGUACUUACAUCAGAAUUGAAUAACAUUGUCUUCUAAGUCCAUAACUUACUGCAUCUAAAAGUAUCUCUUAGACUUUCUUAUGCUUUUCGUGUUAUUCCACUGAAAAGGAUUUAGAAAAACCCCAGAUAAUAUCCAUUACAGUUCACUAUAUUUUUUUGUAACAAUUCCAUUUUCAUUUUCUUGUGCAAGGGGAAUUGAGAGCAUGAUGGCUUCUUCAAAAUAAAAAUAACAGCAGCAAAACAAAAGUAUUGGAGAUUCCCUUUUUUAGAAAACUUUCCAAAAGCUCAUCAAUUUUUGAAUGCUUUCUUAAAAAAUAGCAUAGUUUUAGUAUUUAAAAAUAAUAAUUCUGUUGCAGCCCGUAUACAUAUUUACAAAUAUCCCUUGAAAUAAUAUAAUUUCCCUGAAUUUUAAGGAGGCAAACUCAAGGUGCACUUGCUAAUAGUUCUGUAUUGAAAGAGUACCUUUCUGGAUGGAAAACACCAUGUGAGGUAGGUAUUUUUUUUUAUUACUGUCUUCAUAUAACUAUUUUCAAGAAAAAGAUCUGGAGGAAGAGUGUGGUAUUACUGAAUUAAUCUUCAAAUAGCAUGAAGAUCUGGGUUAUUUCCUGCUGGUCAUCUUGCUGUUGUGUCAACAUUUGCUUAGUGUUUUUGUGAAUGCUAUAUCCAGGUUGCUGUUAACUGACAUAGCAUUCUAUGGGAGAUCUGAUGACAUAAAGAAACACAAAAUUAAAUCAUUGUUUGUGAAUAUGUUUUCAUCCUUGGAAAAAACUUAACUGGAGUUUGGUAGAAGAAGCAGAUGACAGCAUGAGGAACUCAGCUGUACUUCUGAGCUCAAUACAUUGAAAAAUUUAGUUGAGUACUGCUUUGUCUUGCAUCGUCAUCUUGUGCUGGUGCUCAUCUCCAUGGUAAGUAAAACUGCUAGAAGGGUGGAGAACUCAGAAGAACAUCUACAAGUAUUUCUUCAAAGUUAUUUUGAAAUAUGAGAGAGGUAACAGUAACAUCACAGUAUGCUUUAUAUUUGCAAACUUGAAAAUCUUCUUUUCUGUUAAGAAGCAGGUUAUCAAAUGAACUUUUCAUAAAUAGAUGAUUCUGUAUGCACGUGUAUUUCAUUUUUUUAUUAAUUUGUGGCAGCAUUGUCUAUCACCAGAUGAGUGGUGAAGAUUUGAGGUAUUUCAGAUAACCAGAGUUCUUGAGCAAUUACUUUGAAAUAUUUGUUUCAUAGAUUCAUGCCUUUGCAAAUCAAUGCCAGCAGUGCUUUUGUGGUGAAAAUUAAUCCACCUGUGAAAAAUCCUGGCCUCGAACACUCAAGGCAUAUUUGAAGGGCUGAUGAAGUGCAUUGGGCAAGGCAGGCCUCAGGACAUGUUUAUUCUGAGAGGCUUCUGGGUUGGAGUUGGCUUAUGUCCUGCUAUCUUCUGAAGCAGUCUGCACCAGAGAGACUACAAGCAGCAUUCAUGGGCUUUUUGCAACCUUUUUUUAAGAUUCCACCGUAAAAGUGUAUUACUACUGAAUGUAGUGCCCUUACCCUCUUUAUUACCAUGCUUUGUGUGUGGAGAAGAACUUCAGCGCUUGUGGGGGAGCAGGCUAAAAUGACUUUUCUAGCUAAACCCCCAAUUUUGUCUUGUUUCCUUUUGGCUGGUUAGUAGUAGUGGGAUCUGUCUGAUCUGGCUCCCAUCUUAGCACUGGUACAAAGGAGGGCGUGAGGAGCUUGGAUUGGUACUUUGAGCUGGGCUAAUGCUGGUGUGAAACCACAGUCUGAGGAUUCUCGUCUUACCUCCACUGUCAUUAAAACAGAUGCUCUCUCAGGCUUUCUCACACCUUCGGUGCCCCCUGUGGUCACUUUUUCUCCAGAAAGGUGGUUUUGUGAAUUAUAUCAAUGACAAAUCAUGGACUAAAUAAAACCAAACAAAUUACCAAAAAAAGAGGCCAGUAUUUUUGAAAGAGUCCAAAUCAAUGAAGUUAUUUGAAGAGAGAGAAAAGGAAGAGAAGGGAAAACAUGAGUAUGGAUGAAAAAAUUUGUUUCUUGCUACCAAGCAGGUAUUUUAAGAUAUAUCUUAUUAGAGGUACUAGAACUGCAUCUGGCAGGAAACAACCUAGAAAUAAUUAUUUCUUCAUUAUAAGUAUAAUGAGAAAGUAAUAAAGAAACGUGUCUAGUGUCCUUUUAUAAACAUUUGUGUUCCAUUGAAGCUGUUUUCGAAAAUGGUAUUUCCAUUGUCAGCCAGGAGGAAUUAGAAGACAGAACGGGAAGGGGAAAAGAAUGAGUUUUAUUAAGUAUUACUGUUUCCCUUUGUUUUAGAACAUUUCUCAACCAAAAAUGUAAACAGUAACAUUCUUUAAAAAAAAAUUUUGGGAGCUCUAUAUAUUUAAUUUUCAGUAAUGAAGCGCUUUGGAAGGCUUAGCAUUUAAACUUGCUUUAUGUUUAAGAGACUAAAUAGAGAGAAUGAUGUCUCUGAUUUAAUUCAGUUAUCAGAGGGGAUGUGGGUGAAGAAAACAGCUUCCAUUACAGUAACAACCAGUUUUUUUAAAGUAUCUUGCUUUCCUACUAAAUAUGAAGACUUCAUUCUUGUACCUGAAUUCAUGGGAGUUGUUUAGAGCUGAGCAUUUCUGAUAAUCCAGUCAGUGCUACAGGUUGUGGGCUGCACCUGCAUUUAAAGUUGCUAUGUCUGAAACUGUACAUCCACAACUUGGCACUUGCACAGCAUGGAUCCCACAAAAGUCAAAGGUGUGUAUGUAGCCCACUGUGGGUGCACAGUGAGAGCUGUUCUAUUGCUCAUGUGGGGGAAGAUGGGAGUCUGUGGUCAGAAACAGGGUAAGGGGGGUGUAACUGCCUCUUUCAGAGGCUGAACAGCUUAUAUUGGAUUAAGCCGCUUAUGAAAACGCCCCCUAAACCCUUUUCUCAGUAGACAGCGUAGGAGCAAGCUGAGUGCAAUGUGGAAUUUGACUCCCAACUGUAAAUCGUGCAUGAGGAUCAGCACAGUUAAUCUCCUCUAAGGUUUCUGAUGCUGUGGCUAGAAGACUGAAGAGAUGUGAGGUAGCUCCUGCUGUCAGCUGGAGUGCCAAGGUAUCCUGUAGUGCAACAGGGUCUUUGGAGUAGUGGGGGUGCGAUGCAAAGUACUUUUUUGGAGUACAAAAUCAGGCAGAAUGAAAAUUUCCUUCAGAUCAGUGCUGGUCCUACGCACUGUAACAGCACAGAACAUCCCAAAGGAGCACCAAGGUGUACUGCAGUCUUGUCUUCUCCUUGCCUAUCUGCUAAAUGUUUUGAAAUGGAGAGUGGUGGGAAUGACAAAUCCAGGUCUGGUAAUGAAACAGAAGAUGCUUCGUGCUGCUGCCUGGUAAGUGCCGACAGUCUCCUGCCAGCAGCUUGUGGGCCUUCCCAGAGACAGAACUGCAUCACUGACAUUUCUGUAGGUAUAAUUAUUAUGCCACUACCCUCUCUCUUGUAACUUAAACACUGGAAAAAGGAGGUUUCUCUUUGAUGCUUUAUUUUGCUGCAUAAUUAUCCAUUUUCCAUUUUGUUGCAUAAUUAUGAAGAAGAAAA
Molecule: RNA transcript, 6075 nt
Organism: Hirundo rustica (Barn swallow)
Lineage: Eukaryota; Metazoa; Chordata; Aves; Passeriformes; Hirundinidae
Gene: GABRA4
Gene name: gamma-aminobutyric acid type A receptor subunit alpha4
Exons: 10
Source: RefSeq, a predicted model, not a curated record